UACGUAGGGUGCAAGCGUUAAUCGGAAUUACUGGGCGUAAAGCGUGCGCAGGCGGUGAUGUAAGACAGUUGUGAAAUCCCCGGGCUCAACCUGGGAACUGCAUCUGUGACUGCAUCGCUGGAGUGCGGCAGAGGGGGAUGGAAUUCCGCGUGUAGCAGUGAAAUGCGUAGAUAUCGGGAGGAAUACCGAUGGCGAAGGCAGGUCUCUGGGCUGACACUGACGCUCAUGCACGAAAGCGUGGGGAGCAAACAGG
This 253-nucleotide ribosomal RNA is filed under the name uncultured bacterium. Its description in RNAcentral is "partial 16S ribosomal RNA". It matches the Rfam family "Bacterial small subunit ribosomal RNA", at positions 524 to 776 of the family's 1533-position model. The record is from RNAcentral.